Molecule: non-coding RNA, 171 nt
Filed under: human gut metagenome
Description: malK-I RNA
Rfam family: malK-I RNA
Source: RNAcentral
GGCUACUCCUACCACAUAGUCCGCCGGGCGCCGUAAAAAAGGAGGAGACCAAACCCGCCGGGCCGGCGGCGCGGCAGUGUGGAGACCUGCCGUGACGUCCGUGAAGGUUCGCUCUUCACGGGCAAGGGGGUAUUUGCGGAGGCAUUGCCCCUACGGCUCAAGUACAUGGCA